GGGCCUGUAGCUCAGUUGGUCAGAGCGCACGCCUGAUAAGCGUGAGGUCGGUGGUUCGAGUCCACCCAGGCCCACCA
RNAcentral lists this transfer RNA (77 nucleotides) under Lentibacillus juripiscarius. RNAcentral's name for it is "tRNA-Ile". It matches the Rfam family "tRNA". Rfam says of the family: Transfer RNA (tRNA) molecules are approximately 80 nucleotides in length. Their secondary structure includes four short double-helical elements and three loops (D, anti-codon, and T loops). Lineage: Bacteria; Bacillati; Bacillota; Bacilli; Caryophanales; Bacillaceae. The record is from RNAcentral. RNAcentral also lists the same sequence under 2 other names.